RNAcentral lists this ribosomal RNA (665 nucleotides) under Chryseobacterium taichungense. RNAcentral describes it as "bacterial SSU rRNA". It matches the Rfam family "Bacterial small subunit ribosomal RNA", at positions 749 to 1421 of the family's 1533-position model. The record is from RNAcentral. Lineage: Bacteria; Pseudomonadati; Bacteroidota; Flavobacteriia; Flavobacteriales; Weeksellaceae.
AUGGACGAAAGCGUGGGGAGCGAACAGGAUUAGAUACCCUGGUAGUCCACGCCGUAAACGAUGCUAACUCGUUUUUGGGCCUUCGGGCUCAGAGACCAAGCGAAAGUGAUAAGUUAGCCACCUGGGGAGUACGAACGCAAGUUUGAAACUCAAAGGAAUUGACGGGGGCCCGCACAAGCGGUGGAUUAUGUGGUUUAAUUCGAUGAUACGCGAGGAACCUUACCAAGGCUUAAAUGGGAAUUGACAGACGCAGAAAUGUGUUCUUCUUCGGACAAUUUUCAAGGUGCUGCAUGGUUGUCGUCAGCUCGUGCCGUGAGGUGUUAGGUUAAGUCCUGCAACGAGCGCAACCCCUGUCACUAGUUGCUACCAUUAAGUUGAGGACUCUAGUGAGACUCCCUACGCAAGUAGAGAGGAAGGUGGGGAUGACGUCAAAUCAUCACGGCCCUUACGCCUUGGGCCACACACGUAAUACAAUGGCCGGUACAGAGGGCAGCUACACUGCGAAGUGAUGCGAAUCUCGAAAGCCGGUCUCAGUUCGGAUUGGAGUCUGCAACUCGACUCUAUGAAGCUGGAAUCGCUAGUAAUCGCGCAUCAGCCAUGGCGCGGUGAAUACGUUCCCGGGCCUUGUACACACCGCCCGUCAAGCCAUGGAAGUCUGGGGUACC